GUAUUGUUAUUUAAAGACAUUCAAAUACAUCAAUGAUUGUUUGUAAAGAGACAUAAGCAAAGUAAGUCUUGCAACCACUUGCCUACAGAAUGUGCACAGGUGGAUAUUGGUUUUGUUAAGAGUGCACAUGCUUUUAGAAAGCCAGCACAUCCUUUAAAAUCAAUAAUGAUCCUUCCGCAGGUUCACCUACGGAAA
RNAcentral lists this unclassified non-coding RNA (195 nucleotides) under uncultured fungus. Its description in RNAcentral is "sequence contains ITS1, 5.8S rRNA gene". The record is from RNAcentral. Lineage: Eukaryota; Fungi.